AGCAAAGUCAGCUAAGUAAGCUAGUGGGCCCAUACCCCAAACAUGAGGGUUCAAUCCCCUCUUUUGUUA
Molecule: transfer RNA, 69 nt
Filed under: Plectorhinchus cinctus (crescent sweetlips)
Lineage: Eukaryota; Metazoa; Chordata; Actinopteri; Lutjaniformes; Haemulidae
Description: tRNA-Met
Rfam family: tRNA
About the family: Transfer RNA (tRNA) molecules are approximately 80 nucleotides in length. Their secondary structure includes four short double-helical elements and three loops (D, anti-codon, and T loops). Further hydrogen bonds mediate the characteristic L-shaped molecular structure. tRNAs have two regions of fundamental functional importance: the anti-codon, which is responsible for specific mRNA codon recognition, and the 3' end, to which the tRNAs corresponding amino acid is attached (by aminoacyl-tRNA synthetases). tRNAs cope with the degeneracy of the genetic code in two manners: having more than one tRNA (with a specific anti-codon) for a particular amino acid; and 'wobble' base-pairing, i.e. permitting non-standard base-pairing at the 3rd anti-codon position.
Source: RNAcentral